This 530-nucleotide ribosomal RNA is filed under the name Vibrio cholerae. RNAcentral's name for it is "bacterial SSU rRNA". It matches the Rfam family "Bacterial small subunit ribosomal RNA", at positions 900 to 1430 of the family's 1533-position model. The record is from RNAcentral. Lineage: Bacteria; Pseudomonadati; Pseudomonadota; Gammaproteobacteria; Vibrionales; Vibrionaceae.
CUCAAAUGAAUUGACGGGGGCCCGCACAAGCGGUGGAGCAUGUGGUUUAAUUNGAUGCAACGCGAAGAACCUUACCUACUCUUGACAUCCAGAGAAUCUAGCGGAGACGCUGGAGUGCCUUCGGGAGCUCUGAGACAGGUGCUGCAUGGCUGUCGUCAGCUCGUGUUGUGAAAUGUUGGGUUAAGUCCCGCAACGAGCGCAACCCUUAUCCUUGUUUGCCAGCACGUAAUGGUGGGAACUCCAGGGAGACUGCCGGUGAUAAACCGGAGGAAGNGGGGACGACGUCAAGUCAUCAUGGCCCUUACGAGUAGGGCUACACACGUGCUACAAUGGCGUAUACAGAGGGCAGCGAUACCGCGAGGUGGAGCGAAUCUCACAAAGUACGUCGUAGUCCGGAUUGGAGUCUGCAACUCGACUCCAUGAAGUCGGAAUCGCUAGUAAUCGCAAAUCAGAAUGUUGCGGUGAAUACGUUCCCGGGCCUUGUACACACCGCCCGUCACACCAUGGGAGUGGGCUGCAAAAGAAGCAGG